GGCGAUAUGGCCGAGCGGUCUAAGGCGCUAGAAUCAGGAGCUUCUUGAGUUCUAUCUAGUCCGAAAGGGCGUGGGUUCGAAUCCCACUGUCGUCA
Trametes coccinea BRFM310 is the source of this 95-nucleotide non-coding RNA. The record is from the annotation of a GenBank genome assembly. NCBI's taxonomy places the organism in Eukaryota, Fungi, Basidiomycota, Agaricomycetes, Polyporales, Polyporaceae.